This 104-nucleotide microRNA precursor is filed under the name Canis lupus familiaris (dog). Its description in RNAcentral is "mir-8834 microRNA precursor family". It matches the Rfam family "mir-8834 microRNA precursor family". RNAcentral also lists the same sequence under 1 other name. The record is from Rfam by way of RNAcentral. Lineage: Eukaryota; Metazoa; Chordata; Mammalia; Carnivora; Canidae.
AGGAACAACAACUGUGGUGGCGGCCAGCUCUGGUGCCCUGGAUUCAGUUUCUGCAGUAACUACGGAGCUCUCUGUCUGCAGGGGCCUGGAGUCUCCAGGGACAG